This is a long non-coding RNA of Danio rerio (zebrafish), 822 nucleotides long. The record is from Ensembl. Lineage: Eukaryota; Metazoa; Chordata; Actinopteri; Cypriniformes; Danionidae.
ACACGUUCUCACUCCCAACUCGUCAUAUACUGACGCUUGGUCAGGAACCCUCGGCGUCAGUUAUUGACGCACAGGGUACCCCUUUAGCGUCAUAUUUAGACGUGCAGGGAUUCCCUAUAGAAUCUGUGCCUGAGCCUGAGGCGUCAUAGGGAGACGCUGGAGGCUCGUAUAAUUACCAAUAGAUGUCAACAAACUUUUUAAAACCUGAUUUACGCCUAUUAUCACAGUUUUCUUAUUUUAAAAAUAUGUAAUUUUUAUUUUGUUUAUGAAAAGCGUCUGUAAACGGGGUCGAAACUACUGUAUGAAUAAACUUCGGCCCACGUGACAUCCCUUCACGGUGAGUUUAACGCCGCUCUGCUAUUGGUCAAACUGCAUCAGCGGUGAGUUCUCAGAUGAGUUCAACUGUCAACAUUAAAUAUUACGUUAAUGCUGCAUAAUAUAUUUUUUAUUGGAGAUUAGUUGGUGUUUAUAAAUAUGUUAUCAUUUACUUUAUAUUUAAUGAGUGAAAAUAUAUUCGGUUGUCCAGUUUAGGGUAACUAUGCCUAAUAAAACUUUGAUUCAUUCAUAUUAUUUAUUAUUUUUUUACUUUAAAAAAAAUAUUAAAUUUCAAGUACUAAGUUUAAAAAUGUUUUCGGCUGAUAUUUUUCAUUUUAAAUUAUUUAUUAAAGUUGGAGUCAUUGUAUGUGGCGAUCUAUUUUUUACAGUCUAUGCUCGCUAUCCCAAGGUUCAUUGCGAUCCCAAGGUUCACUGCGGUUUUCCACAAGCCUGUUUCUGCCUAUCACCAUGAGUGAUUCCUCAAUACUCAGAUUUAUCAUCAAGAUC